This 23-nucleotide non-coding RNA is filed under the name Geobacter sulfurreducens KN400. Lineage: Bacteria; Pseudomonadati; Thermodesulfobacteriota; Desulfuromonadia; Geobacterales; Geobacteraceae. The record is from RNAcentral.
AUCAUACCUGGUCCCCUUCGACC